Molecule: long non-coding RNA, 932 nt
Filed under: Numida meleagris (helmeted guineafowl)
Lineage: Eukaryota; Metazoa; Chordata; Aves; Galliformes; Numididae
Description: lncRNA (ENSNMEG00000010568.1)
Source: RNAcentral
GUUGGGAGUAGAGGAAAGCAGCAGGAAGGAGGUGACCCUGAAGAACUAACACUGCUAUUGAGACGGAUCUAACAACGCAGUCUGGGCUCCGUGCCAAAGGCUGGUAUUUCACAGCAGCGACCGCCUUACAGAUGAGCUGUGGGAAGCAGGAGGGAGACUCUCUUAGGGUGCCACUACUAUGGAGACACAGCUGGGCUGAACAAGAUUUGCUUCAAACGACAACAAGAGAGACAGAAAGUGUCUGGUUCGACCGCUGCCCAAGCAGGCAGUAACCAGAAGAGCUAGCAGCCAAUCCGGCCAUGCUGCACUGUUCGAAACCAGCUCUACAUCCCAGCCAAUCAGUGACAUCACUGGCCUGGAAAGUAGCGUUUUCUGUAGAUGUCAGCUUCUGUCUGGUGUGAUGCUCCAUUCUUCUGGUGAUGUCACGUGCAGCACUGAGUAAUACUGGAAAACUGAAGAGGUCUCUUAGAAUAAGUCUGCAGUCGCGCGGCUGGUGGUGUGGCACAGACGGAGCAAGGGUUACAUCAAGGCUGUUCUCUGGACCGUGCAAACAGUCUAGACCAAUGACCUGCAGCAUCAUGCCCUUUGAAGAAGAGGCAAGUUCGGUCACGACGAAGAAAAAUCAAGGCGUACCCCUUUUAACAAUAGGGAGCAGCUCGUGGCUGCAAAGAGGUAAGCAGGGGUAAGCAAAAAAGGCAUCUGCUUCCAUGGUUACAGGCCAAGCAUGGGAACCUUGCUUUUGAAGAGAGACGGUUCUCAGGCUCCCUCACAGGCUAUGUCAUGCAUUAUAAGCAAAGGCAGGUUGAGCUGAAAUCCGCAGAGUUAUUUCAGAGUAAAAUGAUACGCGAGCACAUGGCUGUUAGCAAAAAAAAAAAAAAAAAAAGAAAAGUCACAUGACUGUUUAGAAGCAGGCUUGCACUGUUUCCGAGUCG